This 374-nucleotide ribosomal RNA is filed under the name uncultured organism. Its description in RNAcentral is "partial 16S ribosomal RNA". It matches the Rfam family "Bacterial small subunit ribosomal RNA", at positions 527 to 896 of the family's 1533-position model. The record is from RNAcentral.
GUAGGAGGCAAGCGUUGUCCGGAAUUAUUGGGCGUAAAGCGCGCGCAGGCGGUUCUUUAAGUCUGAUGUGAAAGCCCACGGCUCAACCGUGGAGGGUCAUUGGAAACUGGAGAACUUGAGUACAGAAGAGGAAAGCGGAAUUCCACGUGUAGCGGUGAAAUGCGUAGAGAUGUGGAGGAACACCAGUGGCGAAGGCGGCUUUCUGGUCUGUAACUGACGCUGAGGCGCGAAAGCGUGGGGAGCAAACAGGAUUAGAUACCCUGGUAGUCCACGCCGUAAACGAUGAGUGCUAAGUGUUAGGGGGGUUUUCCGCCCCCCUUAGUGCUGCAGCUAACGCAUUAAGCACUCCGCCUGGGAGUACGGCCGCAAGGCUG